Molecule: long non-coding RNA, 4903 nt
Filed under: Equus caballus (horse)
Lineage: Eukaryota; Metazoa; Chordata; Mammalia; Perissodactyla; Equidae
Description: lncRNA (ENSECAG00000047287.1)
Source: RNAcentral
AGUGGACAAUCAGUAAAUAUUUAUUGAAUAAAUGCAUGAAUUCCAGGUUAAGAAAGUUAAUGAUUAAUGGAAUGGAGAAGCACACUAAAUUUUCCAGGUUGACAAUGGCAAAUACAGAAUCAAUAGGAAUUUGACUAAAUCAGAAUAAAAGAAUGAAAAUGCAAAAAUGGAAAUAACACAGUAACAUAAAUUCAAAUAUACAUCAUUUGUCCUAAGGAGAAUAUAAAUUAAACAACAAUGAGGUAUAUCACAAUAUAUCUAUUAAGUGGAUAAAUUCCAAAAACAUUACAAGUUUAAACACUUAAUUUGAAAACUUAUAUUCACACACACACGCACACAAAAACCAAAAACCUUGCACCUGAAAGUUUAUAGCAAUUUUAUUUAUACUUGUCCGAAAGUGGAAUGAACCAAGAUGUCUUUCAAUAAGUGAGUGGAUAAACUGUGGUAUAUCCAUAUGGUGGAAUGCUAUUCAGGAUACAAAGAAAUUGGAUACCAUGCCAUGAGAAGACAUUAAUAAAUCUUAAUGCAUAUUGGUAAGUGAAAGAAGCCAACCCCAAAAGAUUCCAUCCUGCCUGAUUCCAAUUAUAUGACAUUCUAGAAAAGCAAAAUCAUAAGACAAUAAAUAGUUGAGUGGUUGCCAGGGGACAAAGAGUGGGGUUUGUGGUGGGAAGAUUGAAUACAUGAGGCACAGGGAAUUUUUUAGGGCAGUGAACUAUUCUGUGUGAUACUGUAAUAGUGGAGAUAUGAUACUAUGCAUUUGUCAAAACCUACAGAACAUCAUAGCUCAAAACUGAACCUUGAUGUAUGCAAUUCAAACAAAAAUCAUUUAGGGGCUGGCCCAGUGAUGUAGUGGUUAUUUGUGUGCUCCACUUCAGUGGUCCAGGGUUCGCAGGUUCAGAUCCCAGGUGCUGACCUACACACUGCUCAUCAAACCAUGCUGUGGCGGCAUCCCAUACACAAAAUAGAGGAAGAUUGGCACAGAUGUUAGUUCAGGGCCAAUCUUUCUCAACCCCGCCCCCCUCAAAAAAAUUCAUUUAGGAUAUCAGAAGACCCUGAAUGAAAUUCAGAAUGUGAUGAAGAAUCUGUUUUACAAAUGAGCAAAAUAGCUUUAUUGAAGGAGUUAGGGGGAAAAGGUGCUGACUUCAGUAACUUUGGAAAUGAGUUGAGUCUUUCAGACUAAAAGCAAAAACUAUUGUGCAAAUGCACUGUACUUUGACAAAAUCAUAAAUCAUAUCUCACAGGGAUAUAGGUUAACAAUUUUGGAAACACUGUACAUGUUUAUUUGAAUUGGAAAAUUGUAAUUAUAAUUAUAAUUGGAUAGUGGAUUGAGGAACAGUUUCUCACUGUUGGAGUGGAAUAAACAAGUAGAAACAGAUAAACAAGUGGAAGAGAAUACAGCAAUCCCUGUGGCAGUGGAUCAGAGAUGGACAUGAGUAUGAACUCUUGCUUAACUUAUUACAGAUGUAGAUGGUAAUACAGGUAUAUUUAGAUUCACAUGCUGAUGGAAGGACAGAGAGAGCCCACUCUGCAGGAAGGGAGAAAUCUUAACUAUAUCAAAUUUUCUACCUUUUAAAUCCAUUGCUGACAGAUCAAAACACAGGUUUUGAGUGUGCUGUAUACCAGCGAAGAAUGAGAUGAUGAGAGACUUGUAGGGGCAAGUGUUAAAGGUAGGAAAUCCCAGACAGAUUUUGAAUAUAAAGGAACCUCAGGCAACAGAAAAGUGCAGGUCCAGAAAACGAAUGCUUUAUGCAUCUCAACAGAGAACCUUCACAGGCUGGGUCAUCUUAACAAUACUCAGCAUGUGCUCUGCUUCAGUGGACCACAGAACACUCCACAGUCAACCUAGAUCCACUGUUUUCCCACCCAGUUAGGUCAGACAUAUGGCAACCAGGAGCCAUGAUGCUUGAUCCUUUCCUAGCUUCUCUGAAUAGGAAAAUUGUCAAAACCCCAAAGACCAAAGGAAAGAGACUAGAAUCAGGAAAAACCAAACACAACUUUAUCACUAGCAUGACUGUGACAUUGCACAAUUCUGUGCUUCCCUUUGUACCAGAUUCUUCUUGAGCACAAUGGGAAUAUUAUUACCUAAGUGAAGGUUGUUCUACAUCUAAAUUAUUUGCCAAUAAAAACUGGACAAAUUUUAUGAGCAGCUGUUUAAAAGAAAUGGAACUCCAAACGGCCAAUAAAUAAUUUGAAAAAGUGUUCAACCUCUCUUGUAAUCAAGUAAAUAAAAAUUAGAAGCACAACUAGAAACCUUUUAGGACUCAUAAUAUUGAUGUUUUUAUAGUUUGACAAUAUUAAGAGUUAGGUAGGAAGAAGGAACACAGGAAUUCCUAUAUACUGCCAGUAGGGGUAUAAAUUUUUACAAUAGCUUCAGAGAACAAUGUGGCAAUUCUAUUACAGUUUGGGGAUGUGCCUGACCCGUGGCCGAUCAAUGCUAGUCCUUGAUAUAUAUCUAAGAGAAACCCUCACGUGUCCAUAGGAGUUGUGCACAAGCAUUGGCUGAUGGAACAAAAAUUGGAAACAAUUUGAAUCUGUGCUGUCCAGUAUAGUAGCUACUGACCACAUGUGGCUAUUUAAAUUUAAAUUUUUGUUUUCUUUUUGAGGAAGAUUAGCCCUGAGCUAACAUCUGCUGCCAAUCCUCCCCUUUUGGCUGAGAAAGACUGGCCCUGAGCUCACAUCUGUGCCCAUCUUCCUCUGCUUUAUAUGUGGGACUCUUACCACAGCAUGGGUUGACAAGUGGUGCCAUGUUCGCACCCGGGAUCUGCACUGGCGAACCCAGGGCCACCCAAGCAGAACGUGCACACUUAACCGUGUGCCGCUAGGCUGGCCCCUUAGAUUUAAAUUUUAAUUAAUUAAAUUAAAAUGGAAUAAAACCAUUUUAUUGCACCAGCUACAUUUAAUGUGCUCAGUAGCCAUAUACACAUUUAUAUCAUUGCAGAAAAUACUAUUGGACAUUGCUGUUGUAAAUCACCAUGCAUAAUUAAAUAGAUAAAUCAGUUCUCAAUUCUGAUAUAUUUAUAUAGUGAAAUUGAAAAAUCAGAGUUAUAUAUAUCAAUAAGUGUAAAUCUCACAAAUAUAAUGUUGAAUAAAUAAGGCAAGUUUAAUUAAGAUAGGUGCAGAUAUAUAUGUACAUACACGUAUAUAUGUGUGUACAUAAUGUCAUUUAUAUAAAAUUUCUUUUAAAAAAGUUAAAUUGGUAUAUAUUGUUUAGAGGAAAUGUAAAAAAUAGGUAAAUAAAGGAAUACAUGGAAAUGGAAUAUUUAAAUUUCGGGAUAUUGGUUAUAGUCUAAGGAAGAGGGAAUGCAAUAGGAGGUGGAACACAAGGAAAUUCUAGUAUAUUUGUAAAACUUUUAUAUUUUAUCUUGGGUGAUAUGGAUAUAGAAUCUCAUAGUUUUCUCUAUUUUUUAUAUCUAAAAUGUUUCCUUAACAUGGAAUUAAAUAGAAUGACAUAUGUGAAAGUGUUUUCAUAAUGUCAUAUUAAACUGCAGGUUUUAUAAAUCAUCACAUAGAUAAUUUUGUAGAGAUACCGCAUUUGGUUAAAUAAGUCAAUACUGUCCCUUAUUUUUGCAUUUUGAGUUAGGUAUUAUUGCCCUUACUUCAGAAAAACUCAGGCUUAAAACGGGAGCUUCCUUCAGUUCACAUAGUUAACAAAUAGCAGAAUCUUGACUCCAACUCUUUUUUGGGUCAAUAAAGUCAUACUCUUUCCAUAAGAUCCCGAUAAUCUCUUGUUAGUGAAGUUUGAUGAAGAUAGCACUGCAAACAUACCGAGGGACAGCAUUAUGCUCUAGUAACUGUUAUUAUAAAACUUCAUAUCAUGGCAUACUUCACAGAUUUGAAAAUAUUUAUUUGAUAUCCCCAAAAAUCUUGUAUCAACAGUUUCUUCAUUGUAUAUAUGGGAAUCUUGAAAAUUAAAAUGAUUAUGUAGCUGACACCAAAUUUUUAAAAAAGAGAAAAAGUAGCAAAAUUUGGAUUCCAAUUCAAUUAUGCUUCAUCCAUUUAUUAAAUUAAAUAUUAUUCAGUAGAUAAUAUAUUCCUACAUGUAUUUUAGGCCAUUAGUUUACAAUGUAGGAGAGGAGAAAGAUGAUAAGUAAUUACACAAGUAUUUUUUAAAAUUACAAUUAUAGUAAUCUGUAUAAAGGUAUAAAUUAGUUGUAUGUUCAGAGGUACAUAAAAUUCAGGGGUCCAUAACUAAAAUUCUAACCUAAAUUUUGGAUCAGAGGUGGCAAUUCUGAAGAUGUGGUAUGUAAAUUAAAAGGCAAGAAGGAGCUGGUAGAAGGCACAGCGAGAAAGGAGGUAAGAGUAUUUCCAAGCUUAACACUAAGCAGUGAAUUAUUACAUGUCUUUAAAUAAUUUUAUUAUACAUGUAUGUAACCCUGAAUGGCAGUGUUUCCUUACUAAAUAUGACAUUAGUCUGUAUAUGUCUUUAUUUAAUUUGCCUUUGGAGGCAAUUUGAGUGGUCAAACAGAGAUAAAAAUGGAUUAGAAGAGGAUGGUGGCAGCAGGAAGAGAAAAAAAUUACAAAUAUUGAAAUAAUUAAGAGGCAAGACUGUUGCACGUGGUGACUGAUAGGAUGUGGGAAAGGUUUUUCCCAAGUUUUUAAUGUGGGCAAAGAUAGCGCCAUUUUCUGAAAUGUGGAACUCUAGUUGAAGUAAAGCUUUCUGGGAGAUCAUAAGCUCAAUUUUGGAUAUGGUGGAAAGUGACUCCUGAAUCAAUUUUUUUCCUCCUGCACACCAUUCUGUCACUCAUUAUAUAUAAAUUACACUCAAACACUCUCUCUCUACAUAAAUGGCAUAUAUUCGUAUCAGAAAUGUGUCACACGUGGAGCAAUUCUUCCCCAAGUAUAAUCUAAGGAAUUUGGGGAAAUAUACUAUUUCUUGUUCUUAUGCCGAAGAGACACAGGAGCC